RNAcentral lists this ribosomal RNA (484 nucleotides) under uncultured bacterium. RNAcentral's name for it is "partial 16S ribosomal RNA". It matches the Rfam family "Bacterial small subunit ribosomal RNA", at positions 30 to 507 of the family's 1533-position model. The record is from RNAcentral.
AUUGAACGCUGGCGGCAGGCCUAACACAUGCAAGUCGAGCGGAUGAAGGGAGCUUGCUCCUGGAUUCAGCGGCGGACGGGUGAGUAAUGCCUAAGAAUCUGCCUGGUAGUGGGGGAUAACGUCCGGAAACGGGCGCUAAUACCGCAUACGUCCUGAGGGAGAAAGUGGGGGAUCUUCGGACCUCACGCUAUCAGAUGAGCCUAGGUCGGAUUAGCUAGUUGGUGGGGUAAAGGCCUACCAAGGCGACGAUCCGUAACUGGUCUGAGAGGAUGAUCAGUCACACUGGAACUGAGACACGGUCCAGACUCCUACGGGAGGCAGCAGUGGGGAAUAUUGGACAAUGGGCGAAAGCCUGAUCCAGCCAUGCCGCGUGCGUGAAGAAGGUCUUCGGAUUGUAAAGCACUUUAAGUUGGGAGGAAGGGCAGUAAGUUAAUACCUUGCUGUUUUGACGUUACCAACAGAAUAAGCACCGGCUAACUUCGUG